AUACGGAGGACGCGAGCGUUGUCCGGAUUCAUUGGGUUUAAAGGGCGCGCAGGCGGCCGUGCAAGUCAGCGGUGAAAGCCCGGGGCCCAACCCCGGAAGUGCCGUUGAUACUGCAUGGCUUGAAUGCGGUCGAGGCGGGCGGGACGUGGCGUGUAGCGGGGAAAUGCGUAGAUAUGCCACAGAAAGCCGCUAGCGGGGGCAGCUCGCCAGGCCUGCAUUGACGCUCGGGCACGAAAGCGUGGGGAUCGAACAGGAUUAGAUACCCUGGUAGUCCACGCCGUAAACGAUGGGCGCUCGUCGUCGGCGGCAGACAGUCGGCGGCCAAGCGAAAGCGAUAAGCGCCCCACCUGGGGAGUACGGUCGCAAGGCUGAAACUCAAAUGAAUUGACGGG
RNAcentral lists this ribosomal RNA (392 nucleotides) under uncultured bacterium. RNAcentral's name for it is "partial 16S ribosomal RNA". It matches the Rfam family "Bacterial small subunit ribosomal RNA", at positions 523 to 917 of the family's 1533-position model. The record is from RNAcentral.